Molecule: long non-coding RNA, 1695 nt
Organism: Triticum dicoccoides
Lineage: Eukaryota; Viridiplantae; Streptophyta; Magnoliopsida; Poales; Poaceae
Exons: 4
Source: RefSeq, a predicted model, not a curated record
CAUAGGUUUUUCACCCUAUCCUCCCCUUUCCUCCCCUUCCCUUCGUCAACACAGCAGCCACACCUCCUCUCCCGUGCUUGCCGCCGCCACAGCCUCGCUGUGCCCGCCACUAGAUCUGCGCCCUCGAGGGUGACGGGAGCUGAAGACGAUGAGCAACGGCGCGUGGGGUUCGUGUAGGUCCUCGGCUCGUCCGUACCUCACCAGUCCGCCGAGCAAGCAAGGCCGCGGGAGACGAGCGCACGAAGGUCAGCGGCAAGUGCUCCAGAGAGGAGAGAAGGCGGCACUCUAGGUGGCGGCGGUGGGCUAGCAAAAUCAAGUGGUGGCUGAGGUACACGAGAGCGAGGUGGUGCUGGAACGCAUGGGGGAGGUGGUGCUGGAACGCAUGGGGGCCAGCAGCAAGUCGCCGCAAGUGCACAACCACUCCGACGAGGUGGUGGUGGCCUACUUGCCCAUGUGGGAGGUGGAGGAGGCCAACGACUAGGAGAAGGAGCAUGGAUCAUAAUCGAUGUUAUGGAUAAAACUGCUAACAAAUUGUUGCAUCAUCAUGGACAAGGUGUCAAUACUACUAGGUAGGCAUAGUGAGUAUUCCACUUAUUAUGUCCACCUUGACACGUUUCAUGGAUUGUAUGAAUUAUUUUAAAUAUGUAAACCUACUUUGGUGUAUGUCAGUUUUAGGAUGGCAACUCGCCUUUUUUUUCAUGCCUUCUUAACAGUUUUGGUUCUCAUGGGGUUUGAGAUGUGUAGAUCGAGUUCAACGGAUCAGUUGCAGGUGAGUAUGUAGUAUCCUUAUCUAUUUCAUAUGCUUGACUCCACUUUCAUUUUCCUAUGAUGUAUACAUUGGGCUCAGGGCUUUGGCCUGUUCCAUCCGAGGUGUAUCAUGCUUUAUCUGAAACUCAAGUAUACAUUUGGUGUUGUUGGGGCUUCUUUGAUUGAGAUGCGAAAGAGGGCAUAUGUGAUUUUUUUAGGCCAUCUGUCCAGGUAGUGACAUUCUAAUAUGCAAGGAAUGUGUUUAUUUGAUUUUUUUAUUCUGACAUACACUAAAGUAAUCAUGACCAUCGGUAAAAGGAAGACAGUCAAAACAUGAUUAUAUUUUGUCUUGGUAUACCUCAUUUAGUUGUCAUUUGUAUAUUUCAAGGAAAUUAUUCAAUUCUUAGUUAUCUUUCCAUUGCUAUUUUCCCUACUAUGCUUAUCGGAUGGGUAGAUAAUCUUAUAAGGGGAUGCAAUGGAUUUUUGUAUUUUGGAUUCUCUGGACUGAAUAGGUUAUAUUUUUAACCCAUAAAAAUUAAUUUGACUCCAAUAUGAUCAACUGUGACUCGGAAUAUUUUUCCCAAUAGUAUCGGACAAUAUUGUAGGCACCCACCCUCCAAAGUAUACAUUUGCAUUAUCUUAUUUGAUUAUUGGACUAACUAUCAACAAUCAUGUAUAUAGACUUCCCGGAGAAAUAAACCAAGAUGGGCAUUAUCUGGUACAGCACAAGGAACCUGCCCUCCUGCUUAGGUUCUGUAGCCAUGGCCCUCGAGUUAGCGGAGAAUGGUUAUGAUGAAGACUCUGAUUCCAGUUCUCAGAUCCUAUGUGCCUGCUUUAUAAUUCGGCUGCUGUGAGACAGGCCUUGUCGCCACCUCACUUGUCAUCGCAAUCGUCCCUACCUCACUUCCCUCUGCCCUCGAGGCAAGGUCCCUCGAUUGCAUGCAUUCU